This 1335-nucleotide long non-coding RNA is filed under the name Phasianus colchicus (ring-necked pheasant). Its description in RNAcentral is "lncRNA (ENSPCLG00000002091.1)". Lineage: Eukaryota; Metazoa; Chordata; Aves; Galliformes; Phasianidae. The record is from RNAcentral.
AAUCAGCAUUUUGUUCUGAUUAGCUGCUUUGAUUGAUGUAUAUUUCUUCAUUAAUUCUUCUUCUUUUUCUCUCUUUUUUUUUUUUUUUUUUUCUUCUAACUACAGCAAACAUACCAUUGGGGAAUACUAUAAAAAUACCAGAAUAAAGUGCCACUUUCAAGCCUUCCUCUAUCUCUCAUGGGUCCAGCGAUGAUCUUUCCAGAACACGUGUUGCUCACACAACAGGAGACUCUGACUCUUGCUCAAGAAGAGAAGCUCAGGCUGUGCUACUUCUGUUUUAGAUUUCCUUCCCACCAUGGAAGAUCUGAGGACAGUCACAGACUUGAUUCCAAAGUCUGUUCAAGGCAAGCAGGGCAUGACAAAAGUCUCUUUUACAGAUGCUGUGGCUCUGAAAUCCUAAGUUAUCUGGCUCUGAAGUCCUAAGUAAUCCUCAUGUGUUCUGUCUCCUGGACUCCUAAGGGGGUAGAGCAGUUCAAUUAAAUAUUCAUUCCCAGCUCCCACUGAAGCAUUUCUGAACCCAUUUCUCCCAGUGUCUGUGCAUUUGACAGAUCCUGCCCCCACUGCUCCUAUCUCAAGAGCAUACAAGCAGAAGUGGGACGCUGUAACAAGAAUCCAGAAGCCAGAGCUGUCAGACCAAGUCUUCCUAGAUACCAAAGGGGCUAAGAAAAGAAUGGGUGCUUGUUGUAUUUCUGGCAGGGAUGGUUGCUGAAAAGCCUAGAGAGAAGGAUCCUGAGACACCUCAGCUUCCAAGCUCCGAUGGGUAUAUUUCUAGUUGAUCAAUCUCUAUGUCUUUGAGGCUGAACUAACUUCCCACUUCAGGCUUCUGACAGCUGGACAAAGCAGGGUUUGAGCUGUGCCUUGCUCUAAGUAAGUGUGGAGAGAUGUUUUCAAUCUGACCUUGCCAAAUCAGUCCCUGGCUUGGGGCGUUUGCUGAAAUCCAGGAAAGAUUUUCCCACUGCAUUUCAAGUGGGUAAAACAAAUUCUAUCCACAGAGGUUUGAUUGAGUAUUGAAGCAACAAGCAUUCUGGGAGAUAUGAAUCUGCCUUAUGAUCUGCAGAGUCUCUAGCUUUUUAAAGUAGAGUAUACAUAUACAAGUGGAUUUGGUGGUGGUGGAGCUAGCUAAAAGCCUAUUAUAAAGUAUAAUUUUCACAGAGACCGAAGGAUUAUUUUUAACGGCACUGUGGCUGUGUACAUUAUUAACCUUCUAUCUUAUAAAGAUAAGGUUUGGCAUGAGCAAAUGUGGACUUUGUUUUGCUUUUUGUUCCUAAGAUCAUGUAUGUUGUUAAAGUACAUCAGAUAAUGAGAUGCAAAAACAUAAAGACAGACAUAAGAAAG